CUUAAACAUGCAAGUCGAACGAUGAAGCCCAUCUUGCUGGGUGGAUUAGUGGCGAACGGGUGAGUAACACGUGAGUAACCUGCCCUUAACUCUGGGAUAAGCCUGGGAAACUGGGUCUAAUACCGGAUAGGAGCGUCCACCGCAUGGUGGGUGUUGGAAAGAUUUAUCGGUUUUGGAUGGACUCGCGGCCUAUCAGCUUGUUGGUGAGGUAAUGGCUCACCAAGGCGACGACGGGUAGCCGGCCUGAGAGGGUGACCGGCCACACUGGGACUGAGACACGGCCCAGACUCCUACGGGAGGCAGCAGUGGGGAAUAUUGCACAAUGGGCGCAAGCCUGAUGCAGCGACGCCGCGUGAGGGAUGACGGCCUUCGGGUUGUAAACCUCUUUCAGUAGGGAAGAAGCGAAAGUGACGGUACCUGCAGAAGAAGCACCGGCUAACUACGUGCCAGCAGCCGCGGUAAUACGUAGGGUGCGAGCGUUAUCCGGAAUUAUUGGGCGUAAAGAGCUCGUAGGCGGUUUGUCGCGUCUGUCGUGAAAGUCCGGGGCUUAACCCCGGAUCUGCGGUGGGUACGGGCAGACUAGAGUGCAGUAGGGGAGACUGGAAUUCCUGGUGUAGCGGUGGAAUGCGCAGAUAUCAGGAGGAACACCGAUGGCGAAGGCAGGUCUCUGGGCUGUCCAGGUGAGGAGCGAAAGCAUGGGGAGCGAACAGGAUUAGAUACCCUGGUAGUCCAUGCCGUAAACGUUGGGCACUAGGUGUGGGGACCAUUCCACGGUUUCCGCGCCGCAGCUAACGCAUUAAGUGCCCCGCCUGGGGAGUACGGCCGCAAGGCUAAAACUCAAAGGAAUUGACGGGGGCCCGCACAAGCGGCGGAGCAUGCGGAUUAAUUCGAUGCAACGCGAAGAACCUUACCAAGGCUUGACAUGUUCUCGAUCGCCGUAGAGAUACGGUUUCCCCUUUGGGGCGGGUUCACAGGUGGUGCAUGGUUGUCGUCAGCUCGUGUCGUGAGAUGUUGGGUUAAGUCCCGCAACGAGCGCAACCCUCGUUCCAUGUUGCCAGCACGUCGUGGUGGGGACUCAUGGGAGACUGCCGGGGUCAACUCGGAGGAAGGUGAGGACGACGUCAAAUCAUCAUGCCCCUUAUGUCUUGGGCUUCACGCAUGCUACAAUGGCCGGUACAAUGGGUUGCGAUACUGUGAGGUGGAGCUAAUCCCAAAAAGCCGGUCUCAGUUCGGAUUGGGGUCUGCAACUCGACCCCAUGAAGUCGGAGUCGCUAGUAAUCGCAGAUCAGCAACGCUGCGGUGAAUACGUUCCCGGGCCUUGUACACACCGCCCGUCAAGUCACGAAAGUUGGUAACACCCGAAGCCGGUGAGCUCUAACCCUUGUGGGGGGAGCCGUCGAA
RNAcentral lists this ribosomal RNA (1401 nucleotides) under Micrococcus luteus. Its description in RNAcentral is "16S ribosomal RNA". It matches the Rfam family "Bacterial small subunit ribosomal RNA". Lineage: Bacteria; Bacillati; Actinomycetota; Actinomycetes; Micrococcales; Micrococcaceae. The record is from RNAcentral.